GCCGGUGUGGCUCAAUGGUAGAGCAGCGCAUUCGUAAUGCGCAGGUUAGCGGUUCGAGUCCGCUCGCCGGCUCCA
Molecule: transfer RNA, 75 nt
Filed under: Candidatus Atribacteria bacterium
Lineage: Bacteria; Pseudomonadati; Atribacterota; Atribacteria
Also listed under: 2 other names
Description: tRNA-Thr
Rfam family: tRNA
About the family: Transfer RNA (tRNA) molecules are approximately 80 nucleotides in length.
Source: RNAcentral